This 584-nucleotide ribosomal RNA is filed under the name uncultured bacterium. Its description in RNAcentral is "bacterial SSU rRNA". It matches the Rfam family "Bacterial small subunit ribosomal RNA", at positions 337 to 911 of the family's 1533-position model. The record is from RNAcentral.
UCCUACGGGAGGCAGCAGUAGGGAAUCUUCCGCAAUGGACGAAAGUCUGACGGAGCAACGCCGCGUGAGUGAUGAAGGCUUUCGGGUCGUAAAACUCUGUUGUUAGGGAAGAACAAGUGCUAGUUGAAUAAGCUGGCACCUUGACGGUACCUAACCAGAAAGCCACGGCUAACUGCGUGCCAGCAGCCGCGGUAAUACGUAGGUGGCAAGCGUUAUCCGGAAUUAUUGGGCGUAAAGCGCGCGCAGGUGGUUUCUUAAGUCUGAUGUGAAAGCCCACGGCUCAACCGUGGAGGGUCAUUGGAAACUGGGAGACUUGAGUGCAGAAGAGGAAAGUGGAAUUCCAUGUGUAGCGGUGAAAUGCGUAGAGAUAUGGAGGAACACCAGUGGCGAAGGCGACUUUCUGGUCUGUAACUGACACUGAGGCGCGAAAGCGUGGGGAGCAAACAGGAUUAGAUACCCUGGUAGUUCACGCCGUAAACGAUGAGUGCUAAGUGUUAGAGGGUUUCCGCCCUUUAGUGCUGAAGUUAACGCAUUAAGCACUCCGCCUGGGGAGUACGGCCGCAAGGCUGAAACUCAAAGGAAUU